Molecule: ribosomal RNA, 253 nt
Filed under: uncultured bacterium
Lineage: Bacteria
Description: partial 16S ribosomal RNA
Rfam family: Bacterial small subunit ribosomal RNA
Source: RNAcentral
UACAGAGGUGGCAAGCGUUGUUCGGAAUUACUGGGCGUAAAGGGCGAGUAGGCGGCCUUCUAAGUCAGACGUGAAAUCCCCCGGCUUAACCUGGGAACUGCGUCUGAUACUGGGAGGCUCGAGUAUGGGAGAGGGAUGUAGAAUUCCAGGUGUAGCGGUGAAAUGCGUAGAUAUCUGGAGGAAUACCGGUGGCGAGGGCGGCAUCCUGGACCAUUACUGACGCUGAAUCGCGAAAGCUAGGGGAGCAAACGGG